GAUGAACGCUGGCGGCGUGCCUAAUACAUGCAAGUCGAGCGAACAGACGAGGAGCUUGCUCCUCUGACGUUAGCGGCGGACGGGUGAGUAACACGUGGAUAACCUACCUAUAAGACUGGGAUAACUUCGGGAAACCGGAGCUAAUACCGGAUAAUAUAUUGAACCGCAUGGUUCGAUAGUGAAAGACGGUUUUGCUGUCACUUAUAGAUGGAUCCGCGCCGCAUUAGCUAGUUGGUAAGGUAACGGCUUACCAAGGCGACGAUGCGUAGCCGACCUGAGAGGGUGAUCGGCCACCCUGGAACUGAGACACGGUCCAGACUCCUACGGGAGGCAGCAGUCGGGAAUCUUCCGCAAUGGGCGAAAGCCUGACGGAGCAACGCCGCGUGAGUGAUGAAGGUCUUCGGAUCGUAAUACUCUGUUAUUAGUGAAGAACAAAUGUGUAAGUAACUAUGCACGUCUUGACGGUAACUAAUCAGAAAGCCACGGCUAACUACGUG
Molecule: ribosomal RNA, 497 nt
Filed under: uncultured bacterium
Lineage: Bacteria
Description: partial 16S ribosomal RNA
Rfam family: Bacterial small subunit ribosomal RNA
Source: RNAcentral